UAAUACAUGCAAGUCGAGCGGACCGACGGGAGCUUGCUCCCUUAGGUCAGCGGCGGACGGGUGAGUAACACGUGGGUAACCUGCCUGUAAGACUGGGAUAACUCCGGGAAACCGGGGCUAAUACCGGAUGCUUGAUUGAACCGCAUGGUUCCAAUCAUAAAAGGUGGCUUUUAGCUACCACUUACAGAUGGACCCGCGGCGCAUUAGCUAGUUGGUGAGGUAACGGCUCACCAAGGCGACGAUGCGUAGCCGACCUGAGAGGGUGAUCGGCCACACUGGGACUGAGACACGGCCCAGACUCCUACGGGAGGCAGCAGUAGGGAAUCUUCCGCAAUGGACGAAAGUCUGACGGAGCAACGCCGCGUGAGUGAUGAAGGUUUUCGGAUCGUAAAACUCUGUUGUUAGGGAAGAACAAGUACCGUUCGAAUAGGGCGGCACCUUGACGGUACCUAACCAGAAAGCCACGGCUAACUACGUGCCAGCAGCCGCGGUAAUACGUAGGUGGCAAGCGUUGUCCGGAAUUAUUGGGCGUAAAGCGCGCGCAGGCGGUUUCUUAAGUCUGAUGUGAAAGCCCCCGGCUCAACCGGGGAGGGUCAUUGGAAACUGGGGAACUUGAGUGCAGAAGAGGAGAGUGGAAUUCCACGUGUAGCGGUGAAAUGCGUAGAGAUGUGGAGGAACACCAGUGGCGAAGGCGACUCUCUGGUCUGUAACUGACGCUGAGGCGC
Molecule: ribosomal RNA, 725 nt
Filed under: uncultured Bacilli bacterium
Lineage: Bacteria; Bacillati; Bacillota; Bacilli
Description: bacterial SSU rRNA
Rfam family: Bacterial small subunit ribosomal RNA
Source: RNAcentral